This 253-nucleotide ribosomal RNA is filed under the name uncultured bacterium. RNAcentral's name for it is "partial 16S ribosomal RNA". It matches the Rfam family "Bacterial small subunit ribosomal RNA", at positions 524 to 776 of the family's 1533-position model. The record is from RNAcentral.
UACGGAGGGUGCGAGCGUUGUCCGGAAUUACUGGGCGUAAAGCGUGCGCAGGCGGUUUUUCAAGACAGAUGUGAAAUCCCCGGGCUCAACCUGGGAACUGCAUUUGUGACUGCAUGGCUAGAGUACGGUAGAGGGGGAUGGAAUUCCGCGUGUAGCAGUGAAAUGCGUAGAUAUGCGGAGGAACACCGAUGGCGAAGGCAAUCCCCUGGACCUGUACUGACGCUCAUGCACGAAAGCGUGGGGAGCAAACAGG